This is a long non-coding RNA of Bos indicus x Bos taurus (hybrid cattle), 1231 nucleotides long. Lineage: Eukaryota; Metazoa; Chordata; Mammalia; Artiodactyla; Bovidae. The record is from Ensembl.
AUGGGAGAGGGAACCAGGAAGUUCACUGUCCUUCAUGCCUCGGCUGCAAAGUCUGUCACCUCAAGGGUUGCUCCCUGCCAAAUGAGCUGCUUCCCAACCAGUAAGAGCGAGAAGAGGAGAAGACAGGUAGGAAUGAAGGAUACUGGGCCAACCUUGAGAUGGGUCACACCUCUCCCUCAGGAGUCUGGGAGAACAGAUACAUCUGAGUCCCUGCUUUAUUUUUGUCCAUAACUCUUAAAAUGUUUUCAUCUCUCUAUAUUGGUAGGAUCACUAGGUAAAAUACCUUGUAUUACAAUUUGCUAAAUCAGGGAACUUUAAACACAGGAGACUCUCAGCAACCAUUUUGCACAAUGAAUGAAUAGUUUUCUGCCUGGAGGUUUAAUGGGAGAAACAGAGAAUCCAAGCAAGGCAGCAGGCAGAGGGGAGCUGGCCUGGGAGGCAAGGAAGCUGGCUUGAGUUUCUAAGCAGAGAGCACUGUUUGCUGUGGGCCAGACCUGUGCUGAGCAUGGAGGCAGGAACAGAGGAGUAGAGAGAGGAGUUGGAGGGCCUGGGCCUUCCAGAAGCCUGCAGCUCACACCUGCUGGCUGUCUCCCCACUGUCAAUUCUCAUGCACUCACAUUUCUCGGCUCCUCACGGUGACUCAGUCUUUGAAUCACUUUUGUGAUUCAGAAACUAGGCUGGACCCAGGGUCCAGUCAGGAUUGUCCACUGCCUGGUCUCUCAGGCGGGAGCACAGGCAGAGGCUGGGAAAUACUCACGGGCUGGAUCUGCCCUUGGCAGGGCACCCCAAGAACUCCAGGUAGAUGUGUCUGAUCACAGUGCCCCUGCCCCGAUGGUGACACUGUCUAUUAUGGGGAUGAACUCUGGACUGUGAAACCCUUUCCUCUACAUUUAUGAUGUAAGAUAUCGAUGUUUUCAGGGAGAGAAGCGAAGUCUAGAGAUCAGCCUGCACAGACCUGAGUUGGUCAGUUUCUCCACAGCACUGCCUACUGGGAACGCAUAUCACUUGCCAUGAGGCCUUUGAGCUCAGCUGGCUUGUUGGCCAUAUUUCAUGGGUUACUGGAGAUAGGGCAGUGACAUGGCUGGGGGACCUAGGAAUGAAGAACAAGCUGGAGGCAAAUAAUUUUAUGUUAAAACAGAACCAGAAAGAAAGCUCAAUGCAGGAUGUAUCUGAUAAACAUUUUUCACUUCUUUAGUCCUAUAGGGCGGAGAAGCCAAUGGCACCCCACUCC